This 51-nucleotide transfer RNA is filed under the name Canis lupus familiaris (dog). The record is from Rfam by way of RNAcentral. Lineage: Eukaryota; Metazoa; Chordata; Mammalia; Carnivora; Canidae. RNAcentral also lists the same sequence under 1 other name.
ACCUAGGUAGCUCAAUGGUUGAGCAUCUGUCUUUGGCUCAGGUCCUAGGUU